Caenorhabditis elegans is the source of this 21-nucleotide non-coding RNA. The record is from Ensembl. NCBI's taxonomy places the organism in Eukaryota, Metazoa, Nematoda, Chromadorea, Rhabditida, Rhabditidae.
UUGGACUGUUCGCAAGAGUCC